RNAcentral lists this long non-coding RNA (598 nucleotides) under Cricetulus griseus (Chinese hamster). RNAcentral's name for it is "lncRNA (ENSCGRG00015038524.1)". The record is from RNAcentral. Lineage: Eukaryota; Metazoa; Chordata; Mammalia; Rodentia; Cricetidae.
GUCUGGGAAAAGUUCUCACCGAUCAUGAGUGACUGAUUCCCUGAACAUGUCCAUGGGUCAUUUUAGAAGGCCCAGACGUUCAUCCCCUAACUUGGAAAAAGGUCGAUGAGGAUCUUAAUAGAUUGCUCAAAGCUCUUCCUUCCCUUUUCCGCCGACUCAUCACAGACCAGAGCCCUCAUCCAGUGGCUGAUGGAAGCAGAGACAGACAUCGACAGAUAUAUGCUGAAUUGAACUCUGGAACUUAGUUGAAGAGAGAGAGGAAUGAAGAUCAAAAGGGUCGGUUCCAGGUUGGAGAAACCCACAGAAACAGUUGGCCUGAACAAGGGAGAGCACAUCGACCCCAUAUGCUGUCUGGGAGGCCAGUACAGGACUGAUCCAGACCCCUGAACAUGGAUGUCAAUGAGGAGGCCUCUGCACUCCAGGGAGCCUCUGGUAAUGGAUUAGUAUUUUUCCCUGGUGUAAGAAGGGACUUUGAGAGCCCAUCCCACAUGAAGGGGAUACACUCUUGCCCUGGACACAUAGGGAAGGGCCCAUUCCCAGCCCAGGAAGAUUUGGUGGACAUUGCAGCACCCCCGUUGAGGGCCCUAGCCUGCCUGGG